Molecule: unclassified non-coding RNA, 236 nt
Filed under: Hevea brasiliensis (rubber tree)
Lineage: Eukaryota; Viridiplantae; Streptophyta; Magnoliopsida; Malpighiales; Euphorbiaceae
Source: RNAcentral
AAAAAAAAAAAAAGAAGAAGAAUCACAACCACAGUGCUGAUAUGGAAAAAUCUACAUCAGUUCUGGGAUUAGCUCCUUUCAGGAAUACAUAGUUUAUUCACUUUCCAGUUUCAGAGUUUAAGGCAUUCACAAAAUUCAAUUAGUUUUGCUUAAAGGAAUCCUCAUUAUACAUUAGAUAUCAACAAGCUUGGUUUCACUACCAUAGUUUCCAAUAUGCGCAUAAGCAAAACAUCACA